GUCUUUUGAAGCAAAAUUGUCCUUAGCAUAUGCGCCAUGAAUCACCUGGGUAUCUUUAAAAAAUACUGAUACCUAGCUUCUGCCCUCAGACAUUCUGAUUUAAUUGAUCUGGACUGCAAUUUUAAAGCUCCUCUGGCAAUUGUAAUGUGUGACAAAGUUUGGAAACCACUGCAUUCGUAGCCAGGUGGUUCCUGGGGUCUGUGCCCAGGAACAGAUCUUGUUGACAGGCUUGUUGACAGGCUCUACUUCUUCCGAGGAACACAUCACCCCUUUGUAACAAUGCAAUUGGGGGGCAAAUUCAGAUCCAGCGAAUGUUUGUUGCACACCUGUUACAUGCCAUGCCUUGCACCGGUGCCUUCAUAUGUAUUAUCUGACGUAACCCUGUUUGGGCACCAGGAUACUAUUCUUGGCUUGUACCUGUUCUAAAGGCACAAAGCUGUCUCGUAAUAAACUGUCUAAUCUUUAUGUUCUGUGGCUUCCUGCCUCCAAGGUGUUCCGCAGACGGGAUGAUUGACAGGUACCACUGUGUUACAGAAGAGAGGAUGGUUUGAUGAGGUCACAGGUCACAACAGGAGAGUGGGCAGAAGCAAAGAUCUUGAGGCUCAUUCCAUCCACAUUGGACAAGGACACAGAAUGGGAAGCAGCUAGUUUUUUAUGAAAAGGGCAAAGAUCAAGCAUGUACAAGUAACAGACAUGGGUUUAGGAGCCAGACAAAUCUUCGUCUCAGAAUCAGCUCUGUCCCUUAUAAAAUGUGGGCCUGAGCAAAUUAUUAUCCUCCUGAGCCUCACUUUUCCCAUCUGCAUGGGGUUGUUUUGAGGAUAGGAUGAAGUAAUGCAUGUGAAGUCCCAAACAUGGUGUCUCGCUAUUUGUUUAGUCAUUCAGAAAUAUUUCUUGAAUGCUACACAGACAGGCAGUUUCUAAAGUCACGGAUACAGUGAUGAGCAAAAUAGACACGUAGAGCUUAGGGACAAAUAGAGCGAGAAAAAUUACAGAAAGUAUCAUUUGAGCUAAAACAGACACAAAGGAAAGCUUCCUGUAGCAAGUGAUGGGAGGCCAGGGGGGUGGGGGGCUGGAAGGAAGAACAGGAGUCAGCAGAGUGAACAGAGAAGGAUGAUGUUGGGUGGCAUGGAGCAUGUCCUGGGGAGGUCCCAGUUGGCAGUCAUGGCCCCGGCUUCCUGGGAUCCUGUGCAUCUAUAGAUCGAUAAACUCAAAGCAUAAGUUCUAUACUGAGCAGAAGAAUUUAUUUUCAGGCAAUAUAGGUUUGUCUUCCGAGAACGAUGCCAAAUAUGGAGACUAGUCUAGACCAAGAAAUUUGACCUCGAGAAAGACAGACUUCAGGUAGGGAGCGUAGCAGUGAUACCUUGGAACAGCAAGGCCCUGGCGCAGGUCACACAUCUCCUAGUCUAUGCACUGACUUAGGUGAGAACAGAUACUGGUCUUAUUUGACUUCAGAUGCUCAGAGCCUAGCACAGCGCCGUGCACUUAGGAGGUGUUCACUUGAUGUUGCUUGAUUGUUUAGUUUGUUGAAGCUUUGUUUGGUUGAUUGGUUGGGGGGGUUUUCGGACAGGUGGGUGGGAGAGAGAGCAUGUAAAGUGUCUAGAGCAGUGUCUGACCCCUGUGCAUAACCAAUUGUAAUUAUGCAUUUCUAUUAUCCUACAGCAUAAACGCCUUAAUUUUCAUAAACACUAGAACCGUUGUGUCUAUAAAUGCUUAGUCAUUUAACCUAUUUUAAUACUGCCCUUGGAACAGUGUUUUUCUCAUAAAGGAGAAAAAAAUAUAGCCAUUGUUUCACAUAUGUUUUGUCUGUGCAGAGAAGCUAAAAUAGAAAUGCAUUCUGGAUAAAGCCUUCUGCCAUAUGUAACCCUGCUGAGCAUUAAUCCUUUAAAGAAGACUUGCUGAUUUGGCAUAAACCUGAAUAAACAGAUGUGCUUGGUCCCCAGGGCCAUUAGCUUUUUCGCUUUGGGAGUGAAAGGGACUUUCACAGGCCAUGUCACCAAAACCUUGUUUUGGAUACUAUUGCUGAAAAACAAACCAUUUCAAAAGAGUCAUGCAAAAUAUCCAUUUGAAUGAUGGUUACAAGUUCAGUGGGUCAGGGUUAGGACAGGGUACAGUGGAGAUAACUUGCCUCUGCUCCAUGGUGUCCGGGGCCACAUCUUGGAAGACUCAAGGGCUGGAGGAAUGUGACGGCUGGGAACUGGAAUUGUCGGGAAACUCCUCUGUGGCCCCUGAGGUGGGAUGACUUGAACACUGAACUUCGCAGGACUGUCAGCCCCUGUCUACAUGGGUCCUUCCCCUAAACACAGCAGCCUCAGUUGAACUUGUGCAAGUUCACUCGUUGAACUUCUUAUAAGACAGCACCCAGCUCCAGUGUACCGGUUUCCAAGGACAAGGCAGAAGCCGCAUGGACUUUUAUGACCCAGCCCUCAGGAGUCCUAUCAUGCUACCAUCAUAUAUUCUUCUGGCUGAAGUAGACACAGGUCCAUCCAGCUUUUCUAGGAGGGAGCAUCUGCUCUUGAUAGGAGUGUAAGUGAGUUUUGCAGCCACUGUUAAAAUACCAUACCCCCAAUUCCUAGAAACUGCACCCUAGAACCCAGCAGAAGGAAAUCCUACCUUAAUGCAUUUCAUUAACCUUUGAGCCUCAUUUUAAUUGACAUGUCUUAUUUAGUGAGGGAAGAAUCAGAUCUCCAACCUCCCCUCAUACCUGGAAUGAGCCGGCAACAUGGUGGCAAGAAAACUCUUCACCCCCUCCCCCCCGAAUUCAUUGCUGCCCUUGGAUGACGCCAGUUUUGAGAGAAGAACCCUUGACACCAGCUUCCUGCUGGACCAGUUGACAGGAACAGAACCCAUGUUAGGAAGCCAGGGCCAUGCACUAUGACACCGAGUAACAGCCGGCCACCCCGUAUGCCCAGUGUACCCAGGGCAGUGACACACUCAAGCUUCCACCUGCCUCACACAUGCACUCCUUUUCCUUAGGAUCUUGACAGCUGAUUUUUGUGCUUUUGCUAGAGUGAAACAAUUUUCUGAAAGGACUCAGGGCAACAGGCAGAUGGGCAGUUUCCUGGGGAUUCAGAUCAUUUAAGACAUGUCAUUUGGGGCUAAGAGACUGUUUCUUAUCCACCAGGGAGUUUUGGAAAACAAGACAGGUAGAUGCAAGAACCUUGUGUCAGGGCUCAGAGAUCUUGAGACUUCAGACUAACUGGCACCAGGGAGCCGAGAGGUCAAGAUGUGGAAUCCUGGGAUUCAGAUGACACCCUGGGCUCUGUCCAGCCAGACAUCAGCACAACUCUAAGGGAGCCACAGGAAGCAGCAGUGCUGUGUCCCAUUCCCACUGGUGUACAAACCUUAGAAUGAGCGCCCAGAGAUGGUGCUUCCUGCCCGACCCGCCCGGAACCAAUAUCCCGCCCUUUAGGCCAUCAGCUGUGGCCAGUCCUUCUGUGCUGACUUUGCCUCAUGUUGCCUUGAAUGACGCAUCAUGUGGAAGAUAAAGGACCAUCUCCUGACAGUGCCCCCUGGGACCAGGCAGAACCAAUACCAGUCUUCUUACAUGGGCCUUGUCCAGGAUAUAGCAGGAACACUAGCUGAGCUUAUUUAAAGGGUAGUUGUUGCUAAUAAUAAUCAUAGCUAACCUCUUUGAGCCCUCGUUGUGUUUUGGUUACUGCAAACUAUAUGCUACGUGGCGUAUCUGUUUUAAUCCUCUGAGUGAGCCUGAGUUUAAGUCUCAAGUGUUAAUUUCCCAGACCUUAGUACUGCUCCAUCCUCACUGGCCAUACCUGGUUACAAUUAAGUUUAGAAAAGGCUGGUACUACUCGACAAUAAUAUAAAUGGUAAUUGUCCAGGAAAGGAGAUAGAUGUAGAAAGGAUAUGUGUAGAAAUUUAUGAACUUAUUUAAUCAUAAAACAACUGGGGGGGGGGUGACUGAUGUUUUAGAAACACCAGUUUGAAAGUUGAUUGGGUCACCAAAAAACAUGUUUCUGAGCUCAGUCUAAAAACCAUUUGGUAAGAACGGUAAGUCUAAACCAUCAUGGCGGGAUUUGGUGUUAACUGUUUUUGAGAACUGUUCCUUGUGAUAAACCCAGGAGGGCCUGGUGACUCCCCAAAGUAGCUGAUGGCUUGUUUUGGGAAAGGUGUCACCUGCUCCACAACUUUCCAAAAGAGUCCGCUGUAUCACAGGAGCGAGGAGCAUCCAUUCCUCCGCACAACCAGUCCAUAGGUGCCAGGUGAGGAAGCUGAGAGUGAAGGUUUUGAGCCCUUUUGGAUGUUCAUAGGCUGUCCUGCUGCUGUUCAGCCCAUUUGCCAAAAAUCUGGAAGGCACUUUCCUGAGAGCCAUGCUGAAGCCCAAGACCAAAGCUACCAAUAUAAGCUCUCAUUUCUUCCUUCGUUCUGUUUGUUUUUUUAUAAAUUCACAUCCUAAAAUCCCCCCUCUUACCUUGUCCCUUGUGAUAUCAUCAAAAUAUUUCAAGAGAUGAGCCUGCUUUUAUAGCAUUUACACACCUUCAAUGCAGCUCCUUAAGUGUUCUGCCACAUGCCUCUAAGAAAUGCCAUUUGUGGUAAAUAUACUUCCCAGCUUACUCUCAGCUCUCUGUUGAUUCUGCUUAAAUUUAUUUUUUUUGAGUGUGGAUGCAUUCUUAUCUUUUUUAUUUUUAUUUUUAUGAUUUUUUAAGUAUAGUUGAUUUACAAUAUUGUGUCAAUUUCUGCUGUACAGCAAAGUGACCAGUCAUAUAUACAUAUACAUAUAUAUAUAUAAAAUCUUCCAUCAUGUUCUAUCGAAAGUUUCCUGUGCCAUACAGUAGGAUGCUUGAAUUUAAAUGGCCGUGUGUGGCAGGUCAGAAAAGCGUUUUUUCCUCCAUAUCUCAAUCCUGAACUCGGUUGUCAACACCUUCCUAAGAUUAGGCCUUAUUUUGAAAGCAUCACCUGCAUAAUCAUUAAAGUUAAUGUAGUCACUAAAUUAUAUAUGCAUACCUACAUAUAAAAUGACACCAGACAUGGAUCUGAGCAAUUUACAGCUCACAACUUAAACUGCACAUUUAAUCGUCUGUGAGGCACUAUUAUUAACCACAUUUCACAUCUGAUGGAAAGAGAUAGAAAGAAGUGAAGUUCUUUGGUGAACGUUCUACUAGCUGGGAUGGGCGGGAGUGGGAAUUUGAAUCCAGACUCUUUACUCUUAACAAGGAUUUCUGAGCCAACAAAAUGCUUCUCCUAAUUUUUAGAAUUCAUCUGCCAUUUCUAUGACCAAGGGGUUGGAUAAGCACAAGGCAUUUUCAACUGAAGUAAUGUAUGGCCAGUUACCACGUAAUUUUCUUACACAAGUCUUCAGGAGACGACUGGAAAUUUUUGUUAUUGAUUAAAGUUUAAAAUGGAGCCAUAGGAGUUCCCGUCAUGGCUCAGUAGUUAGCGAACCCGACUAGCGUCCAUGAGAUGCUGGUUCAAUCCCUGGCCUCGCUCAGUGGGUUAAGGAUCCGGCGUUGCCGUGAGCUGUGGUGUAGGUCGCAGACACGGCUCGGAUCUGGCGUUGCUGUGGCUCUGGCGUAGGCCGGCAGCUGUAGCUCCGAUUAGACCCCUAGCCUGGGAACCUCCAUAUGCUGCCAGCGAGGCCCUAAAAAGACAAAACUAAAUAAAUAUAAAUAAAGUAAAAUGGAGCCAUAUUUCAUUUUUAUUAUGACUGAAGUGAAAAAAAUAAACCAGAAAACAUUUAAAUUAUUUCAAAUGGAAGCUGCUCUAUCCCAAGUCACAGCUGACAUAUUACAAAAUCCGAAGUCUCACAGGUCUAUUAUUAUACUUGUGAAGAUGUAAUUUUCUGGGUUUGAAUAAAUAUAUUUGGAGAAAAACCCAUACUAUACAAACUUGAUUUUAUUCCUUCUUCUUUUAUUUCCUGACUCUUACAAACAAUAAAGCACACAUUAGAAACAUAUUUUUAUUUGAAAACUUUUAUUUCUCUUGGCUCAAGGUCAAAAAUCUUCAACAGUUUAGUCUUACUUGUGUUUUUUUCAUGAAGUAGCAGUCUCUCUUGCAUUUUGACAAGAUUUUCAUUUCUAUCAAGAGAGGCUGUAAAGUAGCAUGUUCAUUUAGGCCCCCCAGAGGGUGGAUCCUUUCUUCAGACCUGCUAGGUUAAGAGUUUUUGUUUC
RNAcentral lists this long non-coding RNA (6122 nucleotides) under Sus scrofa (pig). Its description in RNAcentral is "lncRNA (ENSSSCG00060041220.1)". The record is from RNAcentral. Lineage: Eukaryota; Metazoa; Chordata; Mammalia; Artiodactyla; Suidae.